AUUGAACGCUGGCGGCAUGCCUUACACAUGCAAGUCGAACGGCAGCACGGGAGCAAUCCUGGUGGCGAGUGGCGAACGGGUGAGUAAUAUAUCGGAACGUGCCCAGUCGUGGGGGAUAACGUAGCGAAAGCUACGCUAAUACCGCAUACGAUCUAUGGAUGAAANCGGGGGAUCGCAAGACCUCGCGCGAUUGGAGCGGCCGAUAUCAGAUUAGGUAGUUGGUGAGGUAAAGGCUCACCAAGCCGACGAUCUGUAGCUGGUCUGAGAGGACGACCAGCCACACUGGGACUGAGACACGGCCCAGACUCCUACGGGAGGCAGCAGUGGGGAAUUUUGGACAAUGGGCGCAAGCCUGAUCCAGCAAUGCCGCGUGCAGGAUGAAGGCCUUCGGGUUGUAAACUGCUUUGUACGGAACGAAACGGUGAGCACUAAUACAGUUUGCUAAUGACGGUACCGUAAGAAUAAGCACCGGCUAACUACGUG
RNAcentral lists this ribosomal RNA (483 nucleotides) under uncultured bacterium. RNAcentral's name for it is "bacterial SSU rRNA". It matches the Rfam family "Bacterial small subunit ribosomal RNA", at positions 30 to 507 of the family's 1533-position model. The record is from RNAcentral.